UGGGGAAUCUUGCGCAAUGGGCGAAAGCCUGACGCAGCGACGCCGCGUGCGGGAUGAAGGCCUUCGGGUUGUAAACCGCUUUCGGGGGGGACGAAGCGAAAGUGACGGUACCCCCAGAAGAAGCCCCGGCUAACUACGUGCCAGCAGCCGCGGUAAGACGUAGGGGGCGAGCGUUGUCCGGAUUUAUUGGGCGUAAAGAGCGCGUAGGCGGCCGGCCAAGUCGGAUGUGAAAAUCCGGGGCUCAACCCCGGACCUGCAUCCGAUACUGGUCGGCUCGAGGCAGGUAGGGGAGAUCGGAAUUCCUGGUGUAGCGGUGAAAUGCGCAGAUAUCAGGAGGAACACCGGUGGCGAAGGCGGAUCUCUGGGCCUGUCCUGACGCUGAGGCGCGAAAGCUAGGGGAGCGAACAGG
Molecule: ribosomal RNA, 409 nt
Filed under: uncultured bacterium
Lineage: Bacteria
Description: bacterial SSU rRNA
Rfam family: Bacterial small subunit ribosomal RNA
Source: RNAcentral